Molecule: non-coding RNA, 1448 nt
Organism: Sus scrofa (pig)
Lineage: Eukaryota; Metazoa; Chordata; Mammalia; Artiodactyla; Suidae
Source: RefSeq, a predicted model, not a curated record
GGGCCCUCUAACCCGGAACUGACGGCCGCCGCAGCCGGCGCGGCCAAUUGGCGUCCCGGAAGGAGCGAGCUGCGGCGUCUGAGCAAGCGAGUGAGUGAAAGCGGCGCCGCCCGCCGGCCGCGGGCGCGGCUGGUGCCGGGCGUUCCCCUGCCUUUUGGUCUUGGGUUUCCCCAAAGAAGGCGGCGAGGGGCGUGUAGCCCAGCCACGUAUCCUUGCAGUCAGUUCCCCAAGUAGGGCCUCCUGUCCCCUGCCGCCCGCGCCACUCGUUGGGUUGGGCGCGCCAUCCCCACACCGCAGCCCGUGUAGCUUUCUCAUCUAGGUCCCUGGCCCCUGCCCUGUCGCCCCGCCGCCGGAGCGGUCACCGCCCGUUCCACCGUUCCUCCGCUGCCACCGCUGCCGGCAACCAUGGGCAGUGAGCAGAGCUCCGAGGCCGAGAGCCGACCCAACGAUCUGAACUCCUCAGUGGCCCCUUCUCCAGCUAAGCAUAGAGCCAAGAUGGAUGAUAUUGUGGUUGUAGCUCAGGGCUCCCAGGCCUCACGGAAUGUCAGCAAUGAUCCUGAUGUCAUCAAGUUGCAAGAGAUUCCAACCUUCCAGCCACUUUUGAAAGGGCUACUGAGUGGCCAGACAUCCCCAACAACACCAAAUUGGAGAAAUUGGAUUCUCAGCAGGUGCUGCAGCUCUGCCUCCGCUACCAGGAUCACCUCCAUCAGUGUGCAGAGGCCGUGGCCUUUGACCAGAACGCUUUGGUUAAGCGAAUCAAAGAGAUGGAUCUGUCUGUAGAAACCCUCUUCAGCUUCAUGCAGAGCGCCAGAAAAGAUACGCCAAAUACGCAGAGCAGAUCCAGAAGGUCAACGAAAUGUCGGCUAUCCUACGCCGCAUCCAGAUGGGUAUCGACCAGACGGUGCCGCUGCUGGAGCGGCUCAACAGCCUGCUGCCCGAGGCCGAGCGCCUGGAGCCCUUCAGCAUGAAGCCUGAGCGGGAACUCAGGCUCUAGCCACUUCACCCCACCAGCUGUGGGCGUAGAUCAGCAUCGCCAGGGCCCUGGGACGAUUGGAACCACAGUCAUGGGAGGUGACCGAAGGCCACUGGAGGCGUUGACACUCCUGAGGGCAGGGGAAGCGGUCCAGCCCCGCUGGAGACCCGUGAGGCCCAGCCCUUCCCUCCUGCACUUUCCCUGCAAAGCCAACAAACCAACUCUCAGUGGUCACCGAAGGUGGAACGUCUGAACUGUUAGGAAUUCUUUACAGAACUUUGCCUCGGGAAUUAUUUUUAUUUUGUUUAGUUGCAUUUUUUUUUUUAAUUGACAGUGUCUAUUACCUAGUCUUAGCUUGCAGAGUGAAAAUGUCAAGGGUAAAAAUAUUUUAAGAAGCUCUGUGUUUUUGAUGCCUUGGUGCCAUUUCUCUCAGUAGGCUGUCUGGGUUGUAAACAUAAAGAAUGAAUUUAAUCCA